GAAGAGGUAGUCAUGCGUGAUUCCUUCAUGUGGCGAAGGAGAUGGUUAAAUUAACCCCUCUUCA
RNAcentral lists this transfer RNA (64 nucleotides) under Damalinia meyeri sika. RNAcentral's name for it is "tRNA-His". The record is from RNAcentral. Lineage: Eukaryota; Metazoa; Arthropoda; Insecta; Psocodea; Bovicoliidae.